Molecule: ribosomal RNA, 254 nt
Filed under: uncultured bacterium
Lineage: Bacteria
Description: partial 16S ribosomal RNA
Rfam family: Bacterial small subunit ribosomal RNA
Source: RNAcentral
UACGGGGGGAGCAAGCGUUGUUCGGAUUUACUGGGCGUAAAGGGCGCGUAGGCGGUCGUGACAAGUCACUUGUGAAAUCUCCGGGCUUAACUCGGAACGGUCAAGUGAUACUGUCGGACUAGAGUACAGAAGGGGCAACUGGAAUUCCCGGUGUAGCGGUGAAAUGCGCAGAUAUCGGGAGGAACACCAAUGGCGAAGGCAGCUUGCUGGGACGGUACUGACGCUGAGACGCGAAAGCGUGGGGAGCAAACAGG